UACAGAGGGUGCGAGCGUUAAUCGGAAUUACUGGGCGUAAAGCGCACGUAGUCGGCUUUGCAAGUCGGGUUUGAAAUCCCCGGGCUCAACCUGGGAACUGCAUCCGAGACUGCAUUGCUAGAGUAUGGGAGAGGGAAGCGGAAUUUCUGGUGUAGCAGUGAAAUGCGUAGAUAUCAGAAGGAACAUCAGUGGCGAAGGCGGCUUCCUGGACCAAUACUGACGAUCAGGUGCGAAAGCGUGGGGAGCAAACAGG
This 253-nucleotide ribosomal RNA is filed under the name uncultured bacterium. Its description in RNAcentral is "partial 16S ribosomal RNA". It matches the Rfam family "Bacterial small subunit ribosomal RNA", at positions 524 to 776 of the family's 1533-position model. The record is from RNAcentral.